This 1016-nucleotide ribosomal RNA is filed under the name Fictibacillus phosphorivorans. RNAcentral's name for it is "bacterial SSU rRNA". It matches the Rfam family "Bacterial small subunit ribosomal RNA", at positions 338 to 1347 of the family's 1533-position model. Lineage: Bacteria; Bacillati; Bacillota; Bacilli; Caryophanales; Fictibacillaceae. The record is from RNAcentral.
CCUACGGGAGGCAGCAGUAGGGAAUCUUCGGCAAUGGGCGAAAGCCUGACCGAGCAACGCCGCGUGAGCGAUGAAGGCCUUCGGGUCGUAAAGCUCUGUUGUUAGAGAAGAACAAGUACGAGAGUAACUGCUCGUACCUUGACGGUACCUAACCAGAAAGCCACGGCUAACUACGUGCCAGCAGCCGCGGUAAUACGUAGGUGGCAAGCGUUAUCCGGAAUUAUUGGGCGUAAAGCGCGCGCAGGCGGUCUCUUAAGUCUGAUGUGAAAGCCCACGGCUCAACCGUGGAGGGUCAUUGGAAACUGGGAGACUUGAGUGCAGGAGAGAAAAGUGGAAUUCCACGUGUAGCGGUGAAAUGCGUAGAGAUGUGGAGGAACACCAGUGGCGAAGGCGGCUUUUUGGCCUGUAACUGACGCUGAGGCGCGAAAGCGUGGGGAGCAAACAGGAUUAGAUACCCUGGUAGUCCACGCCGUAAACGAUGAGUGCUAGGUGUUGGGGGGUUCCACCCUCAGUGCUGAAGUUAACACAUUAAGCACUCCGCCUGGGGAGUACGACCGCAAGGUUGAAACUCAAAGGAAUUGACGGGGGCCCGCACAAGCAGUGGAGCAUGUGGUUUAAUUCGAAGCAACGCGAAGAACCUUACCAGGUCUUGACAUCCUUUGACCACUCUAGAGAUAGAGCUUUCCCCUUCGGGGGACAAAGUGACAGGUGGUGCAUGGUUGUCGUCAGCUCGUGUCGUGAGAUGUUGGGUUAAGUCCCGCAACGAGCGCAACCCUUGACCUUAGUUGCCAGCAUUCAGUUGGGCACUCUAAGGUGACUGCCGGUGACAAACCGGAGGAAGGUGGGGAUGACGUCAAAUCAUCAUGCCCCUUAUGACCUGGGCUACACACGUGCUACAAUGGAUGAUACAAAGGGUUGCGAAGCCGCGAGGCCAAGCCAAUCCCAAAAAGUCAUUCUCAGUUCGGAUUGUAGGCUGCAACUCGCCUACAUGAAGCCGGAAUUGCUAGUAAUCGCGG